Regulatory RNA element from Erwinia sp. Leaf53, 95 nucleotides. It matches the Rfam family "Tryptophan operon leader". Rfam says of the family: At least 6 amino acid operons are known to be regulated by attenuation. In each a leader sequence of 150-200 bp is found upstream of the first gene in the operon. NCBI's taxonomy places the organism in Bacteria, Pseudomonadati, Pseudomonadota, Gammaproteobacteria, Enterobacterales, Erwiniaceae. The record is from Rfam.
ACCGGUUGGUGGCACACUUCUCCCUGAACGGGCGGAGUUGUUCUGCACAGAUGAGUCGUGCAAACCCCAGGCCCGCUGAAUGCGGGCUUUUUUUU